GGAUGAACGCUAGCGGCAGGCCUAAUACAUGCAAGUCGUACGGUGUAGCAAUACAUAGUGGCGCACGGGUGCGUAACACGUAUGCAACCUACCUUAUACUGAGGGAUAGCCUUUGGAAACGGAGAUUAAUACCUCAUGGGACAUUGACUUGGCAUCGGGUUAAUGUUAAAGAUUUAUUGGUAUAAGAUGGGCAUGCGUCCAAUUAGUUAGUUGGUGAGGUAACGGCUCACCAAGACGAUGAUUGGUAUGGGAACUGAGAGGUUAAUCCCCCACACUGGCACUGAGAUACAGGCCAUACUCCUACGGGAGGCAGCAGUAGGGAAUAUUGGGCAAUGGAGGCAACUCUGACCCAGCCAUGCCGCGUGCAGGAUGAAGGCGUUAUGCGUUGUAAACUGCUUUUAUAUAGGAAGAAAUAGACCUUGCGAGGUAAGUUGACGGUACUAUAUGAAUAAGCACCGGCUAACUCCGUGCCAGCAGCCGCGGUAAUACGGAGGGUGCAAGCGUUGUCCGGAUUUAUUGGGUUUAAAGGGUGCGUAGGCGGUUUAUUAAGUCAGUGGUGAAAGACGGUCGCUCAACGAUUGCAGUGCCAUUGAUACUGGUAGACUUGAGUGGGAUUGAGGUAGCUGGAAUGGAUAGUG
RNAcentral lists this ribosomal RNA (638 nucleotides) under uncultured bacterium. RNAcentral describes it as "bacterial SSU rRNA". It matches the Rfam family "Bacterial small subunit ribosomal RNA", at positions 27 to 675 of the family's 1533-position model. The record is from RNAcentral.